GGGGUCAGAUGCUGAGAUUUGGGGUCAGAUGCUGAGAUUUGGGGCCGAUUGGGCUGAAUUUGGGGUCAGGUGCUGAGAUUUGGGGUCAGUUUGUGAGAGUUUGGGGUCAGAUGCUGAGAUUUGGGGUCAGAUGCUGAGAUUUGGGGCCGAUUGGGCUGAAUUUGGGGUCAGGUGCUGAGAUUUGGGGUCGGUUUGUGAGAGUUUGGGGUCAGGGCUGGAGAUUUAGGGUCAUUUCAUGAGAGUUUGGGGUCAGAUGCUGAGAUUUGGGGCUGAUUGGGCUGAAUUUGGGGUCAGUUCAUGAGAGUUUGGGGUCAGAUGCUGAGAUUUGGGGUCAGAUGCUGAGAUUUGGGGUCAUUUCAUGAGAGUUCGGGGUCAGAUGCUGAGAUUUGGGGUCAGAUGCUGAGAUUUGGGGCCGAUUGGGCUGAAUUUGGGGUCGGGUGCUGAGAUUUGGGGUCAUUUUGUGAGGGUUUGGGGUCAGAUGCUGAGAUUUGGGGUCAGAUGCUGAGAUUUGGGGUCCGUUUGUGAGAGUUUGGGGUCAGGUGCUGAGAUGUGGGGUCAGGUGCUGAGAUGUGGGGUGAAUUCAGUGGGAUUUGGGGUCAUUUCCUGAGGUUUUGGGGUCAGGUGCUGAGAUUUGGGGCUGGAUUGGGCUGAAUUUGGGGUCAGGUGCUGAGGUUUGGGGUCAGUUCAUGAGAGUUUGGGGUCA
RNAcentral lists this long non-coding RNA (703 nucleotides) under Gallus gallus (chicken). The record is from RNAcentral. Lineage: Eukaryota; Metazoa; Chordata; Aves; Galliformes; Phasianidae.